CCCUUAUUUAGUGUUUUCAGUUGCUGUUACUACCUAAUUAUAGGUGACACAGAAUGUCUUUUGUGUUUGUAUUAAAAAGGACAAUUGAUUCCAGAGAAAGCGCACCCUUGGAUUCUUGCACUGAGGUAGUCAAACACCAAAAAAAGAACACAGCAAACUGGACAGUGGCAAGAGUCACCAGAAAGAAGACAACCAUUUCAAGAAACCAUGGAGAUCUAUUGUGGAAGGCCACUGCAUCACAGGAUGGAAGGAGU
RNAcentral lists this long non-coding RNA (254 nucleotides) under Felis catus (domestic cat). RNAcentral's name for it is "lncRNA (ENSFCAG00000044306.2)". Lineage: Eukaryota; Metazoa; Chordata; Mammalia; Carnivora; Felidae. The record is from RNAcentral.